AAUAUUAGACAAUGGGGGCAACCCUGAUCCAGCCAUGCCGCGUGUGUGAAGAAGGUCUUCGGAUUGUAAAGCACUUUAAGUUGGGAGGAAGGGCUUUAGGCUAAUACCCUGAAGUUUUGACGUUACCAACAGAAUAAGCACCGGCGAACUCUGUGCCAGCAGCCGCGGUAAUACAGAGGGUGCAAGAGUUAAUCGGAAUUACUGGGCGUAAAACGCGCGUAGGUGGUUCAGUAAGAUGGUUGUGAAAACCCCGGGGUUAACCUGGGAACUGCUUUCAUAACUGCUGAGCUAGAGUACGGUAGAAGGUAGUGGAAUUUCCUGUGUAGUGGUGAAAUGCGUAGAUAUAGGAAGGAACACCAGUGGCGAAGGCGACUACAUGGACUGAUACUGACACUGAGGUGCGAAAGCGUGGGGAGCAAACA
Molecule: ribosomal RNA, 422 nt
Filed under: uncultured bacterium
Lineage: Bacteria
Description: partial 16S ribosomal RNA
Rfam family: Bacterial small subunit ribosomal RNA
Source: RNAcentral